This 489-nucleotide ribosomal RNA is filed under the name uncultured bacterium. RNAcentral's name for it is "bacterial SSU rRNA". It matches the Rfam family "Bacterial small subunit ribosomal RNA", at positions 34 to 518 of the family's 1533-position model. The record is from RNAcentral.
CGCUAGCGACAGGCCUAACACAUGCAAGUCGAGGGGCAGCACAAGGAGCAAUCUGAGGUGGCGACCGGCGCACGGGUGAGUAACACGUAUGCAACCUGCCUGUAAGCGGGGAAUAACCCGUUGAAAGACGGACUAAUACCGCAUAAUACUAAAUUACUGCAUGGUAAUUUAUUUAAACAUUUAUGGCUUACAGAUGGGCAUGCGCAUGAUUAGCUAGUUGGAGAGGUAACGGCUCCCCAAGGCAACGAUCAUUAGGGGUUCUGAGAGGAAGGUCCCCCACACUGGUACUGAGACACGGACCAGACUCCUACGGGAGGCAGCAGUGAGGAAUAUUGGUCAAUGGACGAGAGUCUGAACCAGCCAAGUCGCGUGCAGGAAGAAUGUCCUAUGGAUUGUAAACUGCUUUUGCAGGGGAAUAAAGUGCAUCACGUGUGAUGUUUUGUAUGUACUCUGCGAAUAAGGAUCGGCUAACUCCGUGCCAGCAGCAGC